Molecule: ribosomal RNA, 494 nt
Filed under: uncultured bacterium
Lineage: Bacteria
Description: bacterial SSU rRNA
Rfam family: Bacterial small subunit ribosomal RNA
Source: RNAcentral
UGGCUCAGGAUGAACGCUGGCGGCGUGCUUAACACAUGCAAGUCGAACGCUGAAGCUCCCAGCUUGCUGGGGGUGGAUGAGUGGCGAACGGGUGAGUAUCACGUGAGUAACCUGCCCUUGACUCUGGGAUAAGCCCGGGAAACUGGGUCUAAUACUGGAUAGGACUGGCCAUCGCAUGGUGGUUGGUUGAAAGCUUUUGCGGUUUUGGAUGGACUCGCGGCCUAUCAGCUUGUUGGUGGGGUAAUGGCCUACCAAGGCUUUGACGGGUAGCCGGCCUGAGAGGGUGACCGGCCACACUGGGACUGAGACACGGCCCAGACUCCUACGGGAGGCAGCAGUGGGGGAUACUGCACAAUGGGCGCAAGCCUUGAUGCAGCGACGCCGCGUGAGGGAUGACGGCCUUCGGGUUGUAAACCUCUUUCAGUUGGGAAGAAGCCUUUCGGGGUGACGGUACCUUCGGAAGAAGCACCGGCUAACUACGUGCCAGCCGCUGC